RNAcentral lists this unclassified non-coding RNA (273 nucleotides) under Hevea brasiliensis (rubber tree). The record is from RNAcentral. Lineage: Eukaryota; Viridiplantae; Streptophyta; Magnoliopsida; Malpighiales; Euphorbiaceae.
GGCAGCCAAUGGAGCCAUUGCUGAAGCAUGCAAAAAUGAGGAUCGCAUCCAUAUCAUAGACUUCCAAAUUGCUCAGGGCACCCAAUGGAUAACUCUCCUUCAAGCUCUUGCAGCAAAGCCAGAUGGAGCUCCUCAUGUGCGUAUAACAGGUAUUGAUGAUCCUGUUAAUAAACAUGCGCGUGGUGAUGGAUUAGAAGCAGUUCAGAGAAGAUUAGCUGCAAUCUCUGAGAAAUUUAAUAUCGCCAUAGAGUUUCAUGGUGUGCCAGUUUUUGC